Molecule: ribosomal RNA, 253 nt
Filed under: uncultured bacterium
Lineage: Bacteria
Description: partial 16S ribosomal RNA
Rfam family: Bacterial small subunit ribosomal RNA
Source: RNAcentral
UACGGAGGGAGCUAGCGUUGUUCGGAAUUACUGGGCGUAAAGCGCGCGUAGGCGGCUUUGUAAGUUAGAGGUGAAAGCCCGGGGCUCAACCCCGGAACUGCCUUUAAAACUGCAUCGCUUGAAUCCGGGAGAGGUGAGUGGAAUUCCGAGUGUAGAGGUGAAAUUCGUAGAUAUUCGGAAGAACACCAGUGGCGAAGGCGGCUCACUGGACUGGUAUUGACGCUGAGGUGCGAAAGCGUGGGGAGCGAACAGG